GGUCUCCAAGUUCGUUAACAACGUGGUGGUUGGUUGUAUUAGUGCUCUUUGUAUGGAUGCACUUAAUGGGUGCUUAGAUUGCGUCCAACUAAUACUGGAUAUCAUGCAAGCACUAGGCAUAAUCGCAUUACAGGUGGUGGUCUACGACGGCGGAGCUGGUGAUCCGUGGCGGAGGUGGUAAUCUUAAUUUUACUCUUGAGUGAGAAUAUUAUCAGCUUGGGAUGGAAAUAUAUACACCAUCACAACAAUUUUUAGAAAACAUUUGUAGCCCAGAAAGUGUAGGAAAAGGAAAAUUAAAACGCUCAAGAGGAAAUUUAUGAUGAAACCGAUUUCAGUUUCAUCUAAAUUUAGUGAAACCGAUUUCAGUUUCAUGUAACUUUUCCUUAAUUUUUUUGAAAUCUUUCGGUGAAACAAACGUUGUUGGUGAUAAAUAGUAUUCUAUUGAAACAAGCAUUUAUUUUAUCUGCGUUUGAUCAAUAUUUUUUGAGGUUUUAUUGAAGAAACUAAACCUUUCUAAGUGAUUUCUUUUGUUGGAACAGUUUUGGUUUCAUCUGAUUUGUUUUUUAUUUUCUAUGAAACCAGUUUUGGUUCCAUCAAUAUUUCAUUAAUGAUACAGAGAUGGAUUGUUUUCUGAUGAAACCAAACAGUUUUUUGAUGAAACCAUUUUUGGUUUCAUCAAAAUUUUAGUUACGCAGGUGAUGGUAUUGCCAGUUGUAGUGCUACUUAGGGUGGUAAUGGCGGUGGUGUUGUUGACAUCGGUGGUGGUUGGCGUUGGUGGUGGCUAGUGGUGGUUGGAUUUGUUCGAAGCGGCGACGGUGGUGGUUUUAUAAAUAUUUGGUGGUGGUGGGUGGUGGAUGACGUUACCAUAAGUUGCUGGUUGGUGGUGGCGGUGGUAUGUGAGCUGGUCGACGGCAUUGGCGGUGGUCCACGAUAAUGGUGGUCGGCAUCAGCGAUGGUAGAGUCAAUUCCUAACUUAAGCAGAAGUAUGAGAAGAAGGUGUGGGAGGAGGAAACAGAGAAAAAAUGUGGGGAUACCUUAAUGCUUUGGAAUUGCCUUAUAAAAAGGAAGAAGAUUAUAGAGUCAAUUCCUACCUUCUGAUCAACUGCGUUUCUGGGUUUACCUUCGCUUCAAAAACUCUUGACUGAAGAAGACAAGAAGGUUUGACUCUAAUACGUGAACUGAAAUUUAUAAAUCUAUAUGAUUAUGUUUCAUGAUAUUCCCUUUGAUACAUGUGAUGAUUUCCCAUGAUUUAUAUAUGGAGGGAUUAGUUGUUGAAACCUGACAUUCUAAUCUGUGAAUGUUUGACACUAACAUUAUUAAUGAUGAAACCAAAAUCGGUUUCAUUUAAUUUUUGGUCGGUGGUGGUGGUGGACGGUCGUGGUGCUGGUGGCGGUGCGGCAGGUGGUGCUGGUUUUUGCCGGUAGUGGUCAACGGCAUUGGUGAUCGACGAUGGUCGAUAGUGGUGGUGUUGGCUGGUGGCGGUGGCGAUGGUGGCGGAUGGUGGUGGUGGUGCUGCUGGUGCGGUGGUGUUGGUGGCAGACGGUGGUGUUGGUGGUGGAAGAAGGCAGUGGAG
Molecule: long non-coding RNA, 1573 nt
Organism: Papaver somniferum (opium poppy)
Lineage: Eukaryota; Viridiplantae; Streptophyta; Magnoliopsida; Ranunculales; Papaveraceae
Exons: 3
Source: RefSeq, a predicted model, not a curated record